RNAcentral lists this ribosomal RNA (468 nucleotides) under uncultured bacterium. RNAcentral's name for it is "partial 16S ribosomal RNA". It matches the Rfam family "Bacterial small subunit ribosomal RNA", at positions 28 to 507 of the family's 1533-position model. The record is from RNAcentral.
GACGAACGCUGGCGGCGUGCUUAACACAUGCAAGUCGAACGGAAAGGCCCUGCUUUUGUGGGGUGCUCGAGUGGCGAACGGGUGAGUAACACGUGAGUAACCUGCCCUUGACUUUGGGAUAACUUCAGGAAACUGGGGCUAAUACCGGAUAGGAGCUCCUGCUGCAUGGUGGGGGUUGGAAAGUUUCGGCGGUUGGGGAUGGACUCGCGGCUUAUCAGCUUGUUGGUGGGGUAGUGGCUUACCAAGGCUUUGACGGGUAGCCGGCCUGAGAGGGUGACCGGGCACAUGGGGACUGAGAGACGGACCAGACGCCUACGGGAGGCAGCAGUGGGGAAUAUGACACAAUGGGCGGAAGCCUGAUGCAGCAACGCCGCGUGCGGGAUGACGGCCUUCGGGUUGAAAACCGCUUUCGCCUGUGACGAAGCGGGAGUGACGGUAAUGGGUAAAGAAGCACCGGCUAACUACGUG